GAUGAACGCUGGCGGCGUGCCUAAUACAUGCAAGUCGAGCGAACAGACGAGGAGCUUGCUCCUCUGACGUUAGCGGCGGACGGGUGAGUAACACGUGGAUAACCUACCUAUAAGACUGGGAUAACUUCGGGAAACCGGAGCUAAUACCGGAUAAUAUAUUGAACCGCAUGGUUCAAUAGUGAAAGACGGUUUUGCUGUCACUUAUAGAUGGAUCCGCGCCGCAUUAGCUAGUUGGUAAGGUAACGGCUUACCAAGGCAACGAUGCGUAGCCGACCUGAGAGGGUGAUCGGCCACACUGGAACUGAGACACGGUCCAGACUCCUACGGGAGGCAGCAGUAGGGAAUCUUCCGCAAUGGGCGAAAGCCUUACGGAGCAACGCCGCGUGAGUGAUGAAGGUCUUCGGAUCGUAAAACUCUGUUAUUAGGGAAGAACAAAUGUGUAAGUAACUAUGCACGUCUUGACGGUACCUAAACAGAAAGCCACGGCUAACUACGUG
RNAcentral lists this ribosomal RNA (497 nucleotides) under uncultured bacterium. Its description in RNAcentral is "partial 16S ribosomal RNA". It matches the Rfam family "Bacterial small subunit ribosomal RNA", at positions 28 to 507 of the family's 1533-position model. The record is from RNAcentral.